RNAcentral lists this long non-coding RNA (272 nucleotides) under Dromaius novaehollandiae (emu). RNAcentral's name for it is "lncRNA (ENSDNVG00000010240.1)". The record is from RNAcentral. Lineage: Eukaryota; Metazoa; Chordata; Aves; Casuariiformes; Dromaiidae.
AGACCGCGGGGCGCCGGGGGAGCUGGGAGAGACGGGCGCGAAGGGAGACCGCGGCGUGCCAGGCCCCGAGGGCGAGAAGGGCGAAGCGGGGUCCCCGGGGCGCCCGGGGCUCUCGGGCAGAGAGGGAGCCCCAGGACCAGCCGGCCCGCGAGGGGAGAAGGUGAGGAAGAAGAGGGGGGUCUGGCCGGGCUGCUCGGGGCUGCCGGGGAAGGGGCUGGUGCUGACACCCGUCUCUCCCGCAGGGCGAUCCGGGAGUGCCCGGUGAACCCGGC